CAAAUACUAAAUCUGUUGUCAGAUCUGGCCUUAUCUUCUCGCUGCCUGGAUCCAAACCCUAGCCUAGCCUAGCCGCCUCUCUCUCCUGCUCCUCUCCUCUCCUCAGAUCUCCGACCACCACCACGGAAGGAUCCAUGGGCUCACCCUUCCUUCCUUGCAACCAACCCCCUGCCACCGUGCACCCUUCUUCCAUGGCGAUGGCGAUGGCGAUGGCGAGAGAGAUGGAUCUAGCCCCGCCGAAUCGAGACGCAUACCCGCCUCGCUGGCCGGACGGCAGCAACGUACCUCCCCUCACCCCGUCCAUGUCCAGAUGGGAAACAGCACGGUGGCGACCGGAGACUCUCACGGCGCUUGUUCCUCUUAUGGAUGGAUGGGUGACAGGGUUGGUUGGAUCUCUCUCUAUUUUAUGUUACACUAGUAUUACAGAUGGAUAUUUCCCAUCGAUCGAGUAAAACGAAUAUCCCAGCCGCAUCAGGCCCUGUUAGGCCGUCUCCUCUCCUGUGUAUGUAUGUCCCACCACUUCGGCAAGAUGGAUUUGCUUGUGUUUUAGAGGCCGUAUGCUCUGUGAAGGCCUCCAGCUCUGUUUUGUCUGAUGCAAAGCAACUUCCUUGAUCCUGGUAGUCGCUCUAUCAUCUCGUGAUUCUAUCAUCUUGAAAAGCAUUUCUUUCAUCCUUAUGUUUUAGAGGCUGCAUUUGAUGCACACUUGUGAAGGCCUCCAGCUCUGUUUUGUCUGAUGCAAAGCAACUUCCUUGAUCCUGGUAGUCGCUCUAUCAUCUCGUGAUUCUAUCAUCUUGAGAAGCAUUUCUUUCAUCCUUAUGAAUCCUACAAAUCAAGUCACUCCAUUGCUUGUGAGGUGUAGCCAAGAAGAAGACUAAAGUGUUGAAAUCACAGAAGACUAAAGUAUUGAAAUCUUCAUAUGAGUCUCACUUUUUUUAAAUCAAGUCGUCCCAUCGCCUGUGAGGUGUAGCUAAGAUACAACUUCAGUAUUCAGCAAGAUUAAAUAGCCAAGAAGAAGAGAGUGUAGUGUGGCCCUUCCUGGCACCUCCUCUAAGCUAAGCAUAAAGUGUUGUGAUACAAGUCUCAUUUUUUUUAAGAACAAGAAGAAGAAGGCGAAGGUGUAGUGUGUAGCCGUGCUCGUAGGGUCGCCCGCUGGGGAUUUCUUCUACCGAUACAAUAGUUUUCAAUUUCCUUACUGUACGUGUGUCUGGACCUUGGAUUCUUCUGGCUGUUUUUGAUAUGAUUCUCUCUUUCCCUGUGCAGGUAUGAAGGUGUACAAAUCUUGCCCAUGAACCCACUCUUCUUGGGUUCCAGCCAAAGCUGGGGCGUCCCAAGGUCCAUAGCUAGGCUAGGCUGUCCACAAAAUGAAUGGAGGGUGUGAAUGGCUCGGGCAGAUAAAAUAUAAUGUCCAGCAGCACAGGAUGAACUGUUAUGCAACACACCACUACACAAGGUAAAGUAAUACUCCCUCCGUCCGAAAAUACUUGUUGGAGAAAUGCAUAAAAAUGAAUGUAUCUAGAACUAAAAUACAUCUAGAUACAUUCAUUCCUCCGACGAGUAUUUCCGGACGGAGGGAGUACUACAGGAAAGGAUUACACUUUACUUGCUGUCGGGUGGUAUAUGAUACAUCAUACCUGUAGUGGUGGGGCACAUAUGAUUCUGUGCAUUGAUUAGUAUUCUGGUUUGCUAUCUCGAGACUACUUUUAGUGCCUAAUGCCUAUGGUUCUUAGUUAUUACUCCCUCCGCUCCAUAAUAUAGUGCCUAUAGAUUUUUUGAGAAGUCAAACUUUGACCAAGUUUGUAGAGAAAAAUAUUUAUAUCUAUAAUAGCAAAAAUAUAUAAUGUGAAACUACAUCUUAUGAUGAAUCUAGUGAUAUAUGUUUCGCACUCUAGACGUAAAUAUUUUUCUCCACAAACUUGGUCAAAGUUUUGUGAAGUUUGACUUUUCAAAAAAUCUAUAGGCACUACAUUAUGGAACGGAGGGAGUAGUACUCGCAAUUUAUAUUUGACGAGGUGUAUACCAUGUUAAGCUAGCGGCUAUAAAAGUUUUGCUAAUUUUAUCACAUAACCUUCAGGUUACAUAUGCAGUUUCCAUAAAUAAAACCUGAUGUGUAAAUCAUUUGUUGUGCAAGUAUCUAAAUUCGUAGUGAUGGAGAUUUUCGAAGCAAAUCAAAGGCUGGCUGGCUACCUUUCCCUUUAGUGUCCCCUUAGCACAUUGAGCACUCUACUGAUGACUGGCCCAACGCUUCACCUGAAAAAAUAAAUGAAAAAUGGCGUCAAGUAAUGAUGCAGGUCAGCUUUUUGCAGCAAUGCUUCAAGGAGAAUUGGUAAAGAAUAAUCUUUCCACCCUUCUGGGAUUUUAUCAUGAUUCAGUCUGCACAUAGAGUAUCCUAUUCCUAUCUGCCACAUUCAAUCAUCUAGAGUAGGAUACAAUGUUCAUACUUUGUAUACAACAAUUAUCUGUCACUAUAAAUGUAGAUGAAGAUUUAAUAUACUUGGCUUCAGUUGUC
This is a long non-coding RNA of Triticum dicoccoides, 2506 nucleotides long. RefSeq lists it as uncharacterized. The record is from RefSeq and is a predicted model, not a curated record. The transcript has 4 exons. NCBI's taxonomy places the organism in Eukaryota, Viridiplantae, Streptophyta, Magnoliopsida, Poales, Poaceae.